CGCCCCGGCCUUUCCGGGGGAGCGGGAGAGCGGCGCCGGAAGCGGGCGGGGCGCGGUUGCCGCGGCAACGGCGGGUGCGGGGAGAGGCGGGAAAGGCGGCGGCGCCCUCAGGGCCGGGCGAGCCCCGCCGGCAGCGGCCGCUGCCCCGCAGCGGGGCAUGAGCACGCAUGAGCCCAGCGGGAGUCACAGCGGCAGCACCGGGCGGGUAUUCCCCCGUGUUUCAGUUAUGUCCGCGGCGUUUUCUCCCCUAUCGGAGCGGCUGCCUGCGCGGCGGCCUCGAGGGCCGGUCCCCAAGUGAGAGGGGCCUUCCCCUGGGAAACAGCUGGGAAGGUACCAAAGAACUGGAAUUUUGGGCCAACAGAAGUUAAAGAUCCAUCAUCCAAAUGUCAGGGUCAUUAUUAAGAAUUACCAUCCUGAAGAUUCCCAGCUGAAUUAGUGUUUAAAAGCAUAAAUUCAAUUUUCAGGACUCCAGACCCAGCUGCAGAAAGCACGGUUUGCUGUGUACCUCACACAGAAAAAGCCCCUUUAAAACUGCUAAAGAUUCUGUUACAUAGUAGGAAUCAUUUAAAAUAGGGGAUAGAACCCACAAAGCAGCUGGAUGUGUGCAGGACCUGCACAGGUGCCCAGCUCAGGACAGAACUUUCUGGUGCUGCCGUUAGGUAAAUUAACUGGCAAGUGCCUGCAUGCCAUUAGCAAGCACUUCCUUAAAAUUCCUUGGCAUUAUUCAAAAACCCAGUUACAGCUCAACUGCUAAAUCAUUCAUUGGCUUAAGGUCUGCCCCUGCAUCCUUGUAAGGUAAAGAAAGAAUUCCUCCAACAAAGAACUCAGAGGAUGGCAAAAAACCUCCAGUUCUGGACCCCAAAACUGAACCAUAAGCUGCUGGCAUUGGAGAAGACUAGGGUAUUUGCAAGAUUUGCAAAGCUGGGAAAUGUAAAACAUGAUGGGAAAUGCAAAAGAUGAGGCAGUGCAGAAACCCAGAUGAUCAAGUUUAACCUCAAUCCAAAAGGAGGCUGGAAUCUGUCCUUAAAGCACCUCAGAGCCAAGAGCCCCUGAGCACUCAGUGAGGCUGGAGGAACAGCAGAUUCUGAUGUACAUUUCUGUUAUCUAAUAACCCAGGAGCCCAAAUCAGUUGGUUCUCAGGUGACAUUUUAAUAAAAAGUAGAAUUGUACUGUAUUCCCAGAAGUUUUAAGCACCUAUUUGUUUGCUUCAGCGUUUCUCUCAUUGAGCUGAGAUCUGGACAGUGAGGAGUGUUGGAUCCUCUGCAGUGUCUGAUGCAAUUCAGCUCCAGUCAGCGUUUCCCUGUUUGUCCCCCAGCCUUUCCCUGGGAAUGGCUGGGAUGCGCAUGUCCCUUCCCCACGAGAUGUGACUCAGGAGUGUCACCCCGACAUAUUCACAUUGCUUUUAUUUAGGUCUUCUGCCAACAGUUACAGGGUAACAGACACUUGGGACUGCAAAGUCGAAGUUGCAAGCAAAAAUCAGGACCAAGGCAAAAAAAAAAAAAAAUCCACAAAGGCAAUUAAAUCAAAUCCAAUAUAAAUACAAUGUUCUGGAGCUCUUUAAUCAUACUGCUUUCUUUAAUAAAGAGGUGGUUAGGAUCUUACAGUAUUUUCUUUUGGCCUAAUCCAAGGAUUUUGUUACUCUUCACCAGUCUUAAUUCCACACAUACAAAAAAAAAUUGAUAUUCAACCUUUAAAAUAUAAGCCAUAUUUUCUUAAUAAAAUAAGUUUUGUGCUGCUGCUUGUUUAGUAAGUACUGUACAUCAACUGUUCACGGCUAUUUAACAAAUGGACCAUACAGAGUUCAAGCUAGAGCAAAAAAAAAAACCCACAAGAAAAAUAACAACCCAAACGGAGCGUCCUGUAAACACCCUAUGUACAGUCCCACACUUGCUCAUAGAAAGGAGGUACGAAAGGGGCUGGAAAUCGAACACAAAAGCACUGGAGUCCUGGAAAUUUCCUUUCACAACUAUUGAAGUGCAAAUCACUCAGGCAAGAUAUGAAUUUCUCUUGUUUAUUGCUCUCCUGCUGUCUGGCUUCCCUUCCUGAAACAAUCACAUUCUUUUAUUUCACACUGAUUUUCCAAGAAGAAAACCUUCCGCGAGGCAACGCUGGAUGCUUGGGCUGUUUGAGACAUCGUGUGCGAUCCCACAACACCCCGACUGCCCUGGAAGCUGUGGGGAGAGGGCAGAGCAGCCCUCCCACCCCGUUCUGCUCAGAUAUGAGAUAAGGGAAACAACAGCAUUCUACAGGUAAAGGAAAGCUACUCCUCUUCCCACAGAACUGCAUGCGCUCGGCAACGCUUCCAGCGCAGGUGGAACUCGAGAGGCAGAGACUCGGAGCUGGUCGGGAUGCCUGUGUGGGGUUUGUGGCUAACUACAGAUCCUGAUAUGUACCUGGGGUAACACCUAUCCGCUACAGGCAGCAAAACGCACCUCAACAUGCAGCUACUCGUUUGCAUCUCACACAAGAGAGGGGGAGAAAUGCCGAUGCCGGAGCGCGGAGAGGGUACGGUGCAUAGUCCGGUAUAGAAAACAUGCGGGUCACUCCAACCUCUCUAAACUUCUUCAAAGUGGAAACAGGGUUUAAAGGGCACAGCAGCUACUGAGUUUGGCUGUUUUGUUUAUCCAAAACCAUGAAAACCCAACGCAGAGGGUGAAAUAAGGGCAGAACACGAUCUGCAAGUCAACAGCUGAGAGUUUCAGAAGCUGUGAAGCUUUUGUGUAGUUAAAAUUGCUGUUAAAAAUAGGUGCUACAUCAGCAAGUCUUCAUUCAUAGUUUUCUAUGAACAGCCACCUUACAAAUGAGUGCAAAUCUUAAAGGUCCAUUUUACAUUUCAAGUCUCAAGGUUAAAAAAAAUUGUUACAGAGCAACAAGCUGUUUCUGUAAAUGCCCACACUAUCUCUUUUCAAAUGGUUAAAAAUGGCACGUGCUAUGCCACAGCUACUAAAAGACAUUUCAGAAUUCUAGACCCAACUAAAACACUAAAAUUAAAACGAGGAACCAAAAUACCUUUGCCCCUCACUGCAGAGCAGCAGCCAGGCGCGUUCCGGUGUAAUGCUGGUGAACAAACUGAUUUGCAGAGAGAACCUUGACCUUGACCCCGAUUUUACUCUUAAUGAGGAGCUUUCUAACACCAGGUGAGCGGGAACAGCCCCUCUGAGAUUGUUUUGCUUUCAAUGAACAUAAGUCAGAGUUCGGAGGAUGAGAUGGAGGUGCUGAUUGGUGUCACUAUGCAGGCACUUGUGUAGAGGAAUGUAGGCUUCUCAUGUUGACACUUAGUGUUGAUGUGUUCCCUACGCUCUAAAAGCCUUCCUAAGAGUUCCCUACCUACUGACCACGGACAGGUCCUGGUCUCCUCCCCGUCACCUUGAGGAUAUACAGCAGUGGAGGUUGACACAAGGUGCAAAGGAGGAUAUGAACCAAACAGUGUGGUCUUGAGGAAAACAGGACUGUGCUAAACGUAGGAUCUUCACCAAACGUGACAUCAGUGGGCUCAGCACUUAGUUUGCAUAGCAUAGUGAUGUUGUCACUGUUCACAAACACGUUGCCCCAAAAGAAAACGGCAAGAGUGAAUUCCCGGGGUUAGGACAGCUCAAUGGGCCAACAUGACCGGUGUGGUUUUCAUGAAGGCAAGGCAAGUUUCAACGUCAGAAAGUACAAACCAAAGAGGUGUAGAUGUGCUUCUGUCCACGCGCGGGCCAGGGGCAGCGCUCGCGUGGGGCCGCCUGGGAAACGCGUUCGGCAGGAAAAUGAUACCAGAGCUCUUCCCCUCAGAACGUGGCAGGAGCGUGCGCCUCGUUUGUCUCUUGAAGGAAGCGCUGUGAACACUUUCAUAGAAAAAAACCCAGAUAAUGUGCCCGGAUGAUAUUGGUACUGAGCUGCCACCACGGCCCCGCCACCGUGCGUACGGUCACUGUGCAGCAAAACGGGUCUGAAAAGCAGUGACCAGGUUCCUGUGGGGAAAAAGGCUGUUUUCCUGGUACAAGCACAGAUCAGGAGUUUCCCCCCCUGACAACAACAGGGAUUUCAUCAUUCUAAGGAACAAUCUGGUGUGCUUUCAGAAUAAAAACCCUGGGCAUGAGAGCAGUGAUACCAUGACACAAAGAGCAGCAAAACCUAGCAGCAGAGAGGGUGAGAGCCUGGAGGUGGGGAUGUGGUAGGUGGAGAAGCAGCCGGCCCGGGCAGGCACGUGCCAAAUGCACACAGGCAAUGGGCACUGUGGAGCACCUGGCACAGCACAGGCUGCAGUAGGCAGCACUCAUUGGACAGAAACGUUGGAGGGCUGUGGCGUGAGCACACAGCCUCAGGAAGUGUGGGGAUGUAAACUCUGAGAAUGUUAAUGACUUGUGGAUUUUGGCAACAGACUCAAUAUUGUAUAAAAAUAAUGUUUAGUAAAAAAAUCCCGGUGUCCAUCAUAAAAAGUCAGGGGAGGGGGGGAAAAAAAAGAAAGCAAGAAAAACAUGGAUAGCGCUUUCUGUCCUAAUGGGAUGGAGAUGCCCCCAUUUGUCAGAAACAGUUUUAAAUAACAAGUAGUACAUUGGAAACAAAAAUGGGUCAGCAGCCAUUAAACGUGUCCUGUAUGAAAGUGCACAUCUUUCAAUGGGGUUUAACCACCGUGAGGUCGUGAUCUGACACAAACUGCAACUGAGGACCAUAGAAAUUAACUCCUUCUGAUGGAAAUAUGGACCACCAUCAAGACAAGAUUACUAGUUUCCUUACAAGAUUAAAAACAUUGAAAUUUUGCAGCAUCAUAGUAAGGCACUCACCCAUGGAAAAGUCUGUGACUGUUGCUUUGAGCGGCAGCAGCUGACUAGCUUGUAACACGAGGAAGACAGUUUUCAGUUCUGAGCUAAGUGCUAGGGUGCCUUACAUUAUCUGGGAGGAAUUACUCGGGGGCGGGGAACUGUUAGUGUUACAAUUCUCCUAUAAACUAGUUGUUUUGUUUUUGUUUUUUUCCCUUAACCCAUUAAAGCAUCUCAUAAUCUAAAAUAUUAGUUUUAUAAAUCUAGUCUUCUGUUUUAAGGCUCUAAAAAUCCCCUCCCCCAACCCCCACAAAAAAUACCUACCAGCGCCUGGUGGGCAACGGAGGACCAAAGCCGCCAGUUCACAGUCAGGAGUCUCUAGUAUUGCAUCUUAAAAAUGAAAACCUGCUUCCGCCUCCCGGGAGUUUUAUCCCUUCCCUUGAAUGCCUUCAUGUGUUUGGUCAGGUCAAAAUUUUGCAAAGCCAGAAAAAAUUAAAAAAAUAAUCA
Passer domesticus (house sparrow) is the source of this 5249-nucleotide long non-coding RNA. RefSeq lists it as uncharacterized. The transcript is spliced from 3 exons. NCBI's taxonomy places the organism in Eukaryota, Metazoa, Chordata, Aves, Passeriformes, Passeridae. The record is from RefSeq and is a predicted model, not a curated record.